GCGUUGUCCGGAAUCAUUGGGCGUAAAGCGCGUGUAGGCGGUUCGAUAAGUCUGCUGUGAAAGUCCAGGGCUCAACCCUGGGAUGCCGGUGGAUACUGUCGGGCUAGAGUACGGAAGAGGCGAGUGGAAUUCCCGGUGUAGCGGUGAAAUGCGCAGAUAUCGGGAGGAACACCAAUUGCGAAGGCAGCUCGCUGGGACGUUACUGACGCUGAGACGCGAAAGCGUG
This 226-nucleotide ribosomal RNA is filed under the name uncultured bacterium. RNAcentral's name for it is "partial 16S ribosomal RNA". It matches the Rfam family "Bacterial small subunit ribosomal RNA", at positions 538 to 763 of the family's 1533-position model. The record is from RNAcentral.